GCCGGGUGUAGUGGCACACGCCUGUAAUCCUAGCUACUCAGGAGGCUGAGGCAGAAGAAUCGCUUGAGCCCGGGAGGCGGAGGUUGCAGUGAGCCGAGAUCACGCCAUUGCACUCCAGCCUGGGCGACAUAGUGAGACUCUGUCUCAA
RNAcentral lists this non-coding RNA (148 nucleotides) under Pongo abelii (Sumatran orangutan). The record is from Rfam by way of RNAcentral. Lineage: Eukaryota; Metazoa; Chordata; Mammalia; Primates; Hominidae.